RNAcentral lists this ribosomal RNA (528 nucleotides) under uncultured Glomus. Its description in RNAcentral is "SSU rRNA". It matches the Rfam family "Eukaryotic small subunit ribosomal RNA", at positions 563 to 1092 of the family's 1831-position model. Lineage: Eukaryota; Fungi; Glomeromycota; Glomeromycetes; Glomerales; Glomeraceae. The record is from RNAcentral.
GGUGCCAGCAGCCGCGGUAAUUCCAGCUCCAAUAGCGUAUAUUAAAGUUGUUGCAGUUAAAAAGCUCGUAGUUGAAUUUCGGGGUCAGUAGGUUGGUCGUGCCACCGGUACGUACUGGUCUCACUGAUUCCUCCUUCCUGAUGAGCUGUAAUGCCAUUAAUUUGGUGUUGCAGGGAAUCUGGACUGUUACUUUGAAAAAUUAGAGUGUUUAAAGCAGGCUAACGCUUGAAUACAUUAGCAUGGAAUAAUGAAAUAGGACGUUCGAUCCUAUUUUGUUGGUUUCUAGGAUUGACGUAAUGAUUAAUAGGGAUAGUUGGGGGCAUUAGUAUUCAAUUGUCAGAGGUGAAAUUCUUGGAUUUAUUGAAGACUAACUACUGUGAAAGCAUUUGCCAAGGAUGUUUUCAUUAAUCAAGAACGAAAGUUAGGGGAUCGAAGACGAUCAGAUACCGUCGUAGUCUUAACCAUAAACUAUGCCGACUAGGGAUCGGAUGAUGUUAAUUUUUUUAAUGACUCAUUCGGCGCCUUACG